Molecule: ribosomal RNA, 375 nt
Filed under: uncultured bacterium
Lineage: Bacteria
Description: bacterial SSU rRNA
Rfam family: Bacterial small subunit ribosomal RNA
Source: RNAcentral
UACGGAGGGUGCAAGCGUUACUCGGAAUCACUGGGCGUAAAGAGCGUGUAGGCGGAUUUGUAAGUUGGAAGUGAAAUCCUAUGGCUCAACCAUAGAACUGCUUCCAAAACUGCAUGUCUAGAGUGUGGGAGAGGUAGAUGGAAUUUCUGGUGUAGGGGUAAAAUCCGUAGAGAUCAGAAGGAAUACCGAUUGCGAAGGCGAUCUACUGGAACAUAACUGACGCUGAGACGCGAAAGCGUGGGGAGCAAACAGGAUUAGAUACCCUGGUAGUCCACGCCCUAAACGAUGUACACUAGUUGUUGUGAGGUUCGACCUUGCAGUAAUGCAGUUAACACAGUAAGUGUACCGCCUGGGGAGUACGGUCGCAAGAUUAAA